UAAGAGCCUCACCAAUGAUUGGG
Molecule: non-coding RNA, 23 nt
Filed under: Cricetulus griseus (Chinese hamster)
Lineage: Eukaryota; Metazoa; Chordata; Mammalia; Rodentia; Cricetidae
Source: RNAcentral